Long non-coding RNA from Gordionus sp. m RMFG-2023, 187 nucleotides. RefSeq lists it as uncharacterized. NCBI's taxonomy places the organism in Eukaryota, Metazoa, Nematomorpha, Gordioida, Chordodea, Parachordodidae. The transcript has 3 exons. The record is from RefSeq and is a predicted model, not a curated record.
GGCAAACAUUUUCAUUUAAAACUAUUUAAGAAGAUUAUAUAUUUUUUCAAAAUUUAUUAAAAGGAAUAUCCAUCAAUUCUGUUUUUCUCAAGAAGACACACUCGCGAUAAGAAUGAAAUAUUUCACUUCGAUACUCCUACUCCUUGUGGUGGUUUUAAAGGCCGCGGUGUUGCUAAACGCUAGAGUG